This 253-nucleotide ribosomal RNA is filed under the name uncultured bacterium. RNAcentral describes it as "partial 16S ribosomal RNA". It matches the Rfam family "Bacterial small subunit ribosomal RNA", at positions 524 to 776 of the family's 1533-position model. The record is from RNAcentral.
GACAGAGGGUGCAAACGUUGUUCGGAAUUACUGGGCGUAAAGCGCGUGUAGGCUGCUCGGAAAGUCGGAUGUGAAAGCCCUGGGCUCAACCUAGGAAGUGCAUUCGAAACUUCCGAGCUGGAGUGCCGGAGAGGAAGGCGGAAUUCUCGGUGUAGAGGUGAAAUUCGUAGAUAUCGAGAGGAACACCGGUGGCGAAGGCGGCCUUCUGGACAGCGACUGACGCUGAGACGCGAAAGCGUGGGGAGCAAACAGG